AGGAUAAACGCUGGCGGCGUGCCUAACACAUGCAAGUCGAACGCGCUUUCGGGCUUCGGUGCGAGAGCGAGUGGCGGACGGGUGAGUAACACAUGGGUACCUACCUUGGAGUGAGGGAUACCGGCGAGAAAUCGCCGACAAUACCGCAUAGGCUUCUUCACAAGGGAAGCAAAGUGACGCGAGUCACGCUUUGAGAUGGGCCUGUGGCCGAUUAGCUAGUUGGGGGGGUAACGGCUUCCCAAGGCGACGAUCGGUAGCUGGUCUGAGAGGACGAUCAGCCACACUGGGAUUGAGAACGGCCCAGACUCCUACGGGGGGCAGCAGUGAGGAAUUUUCCGCAAUGGAGGCAACUCUGACGGAGCAACGCCGCGUGCAGGAGGAAGGUUUUCGGAUCGUAAACUGCUUUUCUCGGGGACGAGCAAGGACGGUACCCGAGGACGAAGCCCGGCUAACUACGCGCCAGCAGCCGC
RNAcentral lists this ribosomal RNA (470 nucleotides) under uncultured bacterium. RNAcentral describes it as "SSU rRNA". It matches the Rfam family "Bacterial small subunit ribosomal RNA", at positions 26 to 518 of the family's 1533-position model. The record is from RNAcentral.